CUCAGACUUUAGAGGCCAUUAUCAUCAAUCAUGCCCUCCACAAUGAGACUAGCUGAAACCACACGUGUCAGUUCACACGUGCAACCUCUCUGCCCAUUCACAUCUCUCAAGUUUUCAUCUUCAAUAAUAGAAAUACGAGGAAAGAGUUCCGUAAACACAGUGUAUUGUUGGGCCAACAGAAGUUGAUUUGAGCUACCAAAUCCUCUCAGCAAAACAGAAGAAUUGUUCCAUCAGAGGAUGAUGACGAUGGUGUGUCGCUUGGCACCAUGAAAUUGCCUUCAGAUACUGAUCUUCAGAAGUCUACUGCUCCAGGUAGAUGAAAUACCAGGUAGAGCAUGAUUGGGAUUUAUUACAGUUGGAGAUGGGGAGACUGAGGUCCUUGUGUACAUAGAUUGUUUGGUUUUUCCCGCAUCUGGCAGUUCUGGUCAGAUUUUCGAGCUAUUAGAAAUGUACCAUUAACAGAUAAUUCACAUCCUGGUGAGCCACGGAUCAUGAGAAGUCUUAUGCAAGCCCUCCAGAAAUCAGUUGAAAUUGCUAGAGUUUGAACCGUUUUGUAUUUAAGGUGUAAUAAUAUGCAUCUUGACUCUCUUUUGUUAAUACUGUUAUUUCUAGCAUUAUGUUUAUAAUUUUAAUUUUCUAUGCUUGGUUAAGGCAAUAAAACUUUUGUUCUUAUAUAUUUCAUUUAUAUCUGUCUAUAUAUCUAUCUUUCUGCUUGCCUUUUAUCCACUUAGCUAGUUAGAUAUCUAUGGCAUUGGAUUUUUGCAAUAAUGGAGAUUGCUUAGGGUCUGGAAGCAUAUAUCAAUUUAUUAUUUGUAGGUUUAUUUAGCUUCUGUGAGAUCUGUCCUUUUAGAACAUUUUCAGAAUGAAAUACAUUUGUAGUGUCAGUUAUGACUUGAGUGCUUAGCAAUAGUGAUUUGUAGAAUUAAGAGGGUAGUUGUAGCUUACAAUGUUCACCAACUUAGCUUUAAAACAUAUUUGUGCUAACUCAUCUUCUAGAAGAUAACUUUUGUUUAUCUUUUUCUCCCAUAUCAACAUCUUGAUGCAUGUGAUUGAAUAUUUUAUAUUGCACAUUUUGAGUGCAAUAUGCUAUGCAUAAGAAUAUACAAAAAGAGACUUUAAAUAGUUGAUCAACCUUUUAUUGCAAGUAAUUAACCUUAAUUAAGGUUCUGUUAUAAUCACUAAAGAUAUAUGUAUUGUAUGUGAUUUUUUUUCAGCUGUUGAGAAGAAUCCAUCUACUCUUUUUUGCCCCGUCUAUGUUUUAUUUUUUCAUUUUUUAAGAAAUCGACUGUACAUAGAUAAGGAAGCAUAAAUCUAGGUAAUUGUUUUGUAGUGAUUUGUCUCAAUAUGUACCGAUUUGAUCCUAGAUCUUGGAAUUGGAUUGGACUAUACUCUUUAUAGAUAAAGAAUGAUAUUCUAGCUACUCUUUAAGAAGAACAUGCACUAGAGAACAAAAUAGUAUAAUCAGAAUCAUAUGUGCUGGCAGUAUGUUCAUUUAUAUAUUUCGUUGAAUCUGAAUCUGAAACUGAUAUUCCCCUCUAGUUUUCGACUGUGUUCAUUUUUACUGUUUAUAAGACAUGCUAGCUUGUUGAUAAUUCAUAACAUCUUAGUCCUGAAAUUUUAAAAGAUUUCAAAAAAAUAUGGAGAAAAAAGCUGGUUUGGAACAGAGGUUGGGUGAUGAAGAAGAAGAUGGUUAUGAUGCUGUUGUUGUGGGGUCUGCAGUUUGGUUGCAUCUUUUCAGAUGUUGAUGGUAGGGAUAAAGGUAUGCCUUGUAGAGAAAGGCAGGCAAUGGGAAGCUAAUGAUUUCCAACUCAUUGUCUGAAGAUCAUGUCAGCCUUAAGGGUGGAAAACUGGAAUUUAGUUGUCAGCUUUUGACCAAAAGAUGCUUUGCUUCAGGUGAUUCUCUAGCAGCAAUGGCUUUUGGGCUUGGUGGAGGUUCACUAGACAAUUCUGGAGUGAUGCUGCCAACUCCAGUUUGUGCUAGAAGGAAUCCUGAGUGGCCAAAGGAAUGGGAAUGGGAAUUGGAUUGGCAAUGGGAUAGUUGCGCUGCCAUGUGUAGAGUACAAAGAGCUCCUGUCAGGUAUCCUGUUUCCUAAGUCAUGAGAGAAAUAGCCAAUGGAGAGAUUGAAGAAAGUUGCGAAGAUUUUAUGAAAGUAAGCAUUGAAUUUCGAUUUCAAAAACCUCCACCCCAACUUACGAAGCUUCAACAGACAAGCAUCUGCUUAGCCUGUAGAAAUUGUCUUGCUGGGUGCCCUUAUAAGGCCAAAAAUUCUACUGACAAAAAUCGACUCCGUUUGGUAUAUAUUUUUUUUUAAUAAUAUUCUAUUCUGAAUAUGAUAGGAUAUGAUUUAAUAAAAUAAGAUAGGAUU
Long non-coding RNA from Pistacia vera, 2366 nucleotides. RefSeq lists it as uncharacterized. NCBI's taxonomy places the organism in Eukaryota, Viridiplantae, Streptophyta, Magnoliopsida, Sapindales, Anacardiaceae. The record is from RefSeq and is a predicted model, not a curated record. The transcript has 3 exons.